UACGUAGGGGGCAAGCGUUGUCCGGAAUCAUUGGGCGUAAAGAGCGUGUAGGCGGCCCGAUAAGUCCGCUGUGAAAGUCCAGGGCUCAACCCUGGAAUGCCGGUGGAUACUGUCGGGCUCGAAUCCGGAAGAGGUGAGUGGAAUUCCUGGUGUAGCGGUGAAAUGCGCAGAUAUCAGGAAGAACACCAAUGGCGAAAGCAGCUUUCUGGGACGGUACUGACGCUGAGACGCGAAAGCGUGGGGAGCGAACGGG
RNAcentral lists this ribosomal RNA (253 nucleotides) under uncultured bacterium. Its description in RNAcentral is "partial 16S ribosomal RNA". It matches the Rfam family "Bacterial small subunit ribosomal RNA", at positions 524 to 776 of the family's 1533-position model. The record is from RNAcentral.